Molecule: unclassified non-coding RNA, 255 nt
Filed under: Hevea brasiliensis (rubber tree)
Lineage: Eukaryota; Viridiplantae; Streptophyta; Magnoliopsida; Malpighiales; Euphorbiaceae
Source: RNAcentral
GGACACACAGCAAUACUCUAUCACAGACUUCAACUUGACUGGUUCCCUACGUUAGUAUGGCCUCGUGAUCUUUGCUAUGUACGUUAUUGGCGUCGAAAUGAUGAUGGAAGUUAUGUUGUGUUAUUUCGUUCCAGGGAGCAUGAGAAUUGUGGUCCACUACCUGGAUAUGUUCGAGCUCAUAUUGAGAGUGGUGGAUUCAAUAUUUCCCCACUCAAACCUAUUAACGGGAGGCCCAGAACACAAGUGCAACAUCUU